CUCUUUGGCUGAGUUAGUGAUCGGCUGAAGUUUCUAUCUAUUUUUGGAGAAAAAAAUGUCACUAAGUAAAGAAGUAAAAGCACAAAUCCUGGCUGAUUUCGGUCGUGGUGAA
Molecule: regulatory RNA element, 112 nt
Organism: Shewanella loihica PV-4
Lineage: Bacteria; Pseudomonadati; Pseudomonadota; Gammaproteobacteria; Alteromonadales; Shewanellaceae
Rfam family: Ribosomal S15 leader
About the family: The E. coli Ribosomal S15 gene 5' UTR can form two alternative structures. One that is a series of three hairpins, The other includes a pseudoknot. This structure causes translational regulation of the S15 protein.
Source: Rfam